UACGAAGGGUGCAAGCGUUACUCGGAAUUACUGGGCGUAAAGCGUGCGUAGGUGGUUUGUUAAGUCUGUUGUGAAAGCCCCGGGCUCAACCUGGGAAUGGCAAUGGAUACUGGCAGGCUAGAGUGCGGUAGAGGGUAGUGGAAUUCCCGGUGUAGCGGUGAAAUGCGUAGAGAUCGGGAGGAACACCGGUGGCGAAGGCAGGUCUCUGGGCUGACACUGACGCUCGAUGCACGAAAGCGUGGGGAGCAAACAGG
RNAcentral lists this ribosomal RNA (254 nucleotides) under uncultured bacterium. Its description in RNAcentral is "partial 16S ribosomal RNA". It matches the Rfam family "Bacterial small subunit ribosomal RNA", at positions 524 to 776 of the family's 1533-position model. The record is from RNAcentral.